GUUCACAUGCAGGAUUACACCAUACAUUAGACCAAGAGAGACAGUUAAAAGCAUUAAAAAAUCAUCUCUGGACAUAUACAGUAAGACUUGGCUGUCCAAAAGCCUUUCCUCUUUUUUUCUCUAUUGAGCCAAGACAAGACAUUACCUCUGUCUGCAGUCUGUCAAUGAAGAUGAUGGAAGAUGAUGAGCAGGCUGCUGUGGCUGCAAUCUGCUUUACAAAAGCAGGUCUGAAACUCUUCUCCUCCCUGGGAUGCAGAGAGUGCACAGGAGGUGUUAAUCUUGGAAACCUCACAGUGGUCUUUUUGCAGCUGUGGGAUGGAGUUAAUCAUCCCAGGGCUCCAGUGGGAAUUUAAGCCAGGCCUGCUGCUGCUCUGGCUGAUUAUGGCACACCAGCUCAUCCUAACCCCUGCAUGCUCUGGCCAAGGAUGAUGCUCAUCAGUCCCAUUGGAAUGCUGCUACCCAGGGCCACGGACUGUCCCCCAGCUCCAGCCCAUCAAAGGAGCCACAGGAUGGGACCAGGACAGCAAAGCUGCAGUGGAGACAACAGGCCAGGUGAAGUCUGACGGGCGGCUGCCUCCCUGCUCUGCCCAUAUGGAAAUGAACAUCUCAAAUGGGUCACUUACAAAGUAAAGAGUUUCCAGCUGACACAAAAUGUUGCAUAAUUUCCACAAGAUUUAUAGCUUUAUUUAAAUCAUUUUCAACCAAGAUGAGCAUUGGGCAGGGCUAAUCUUUCUUGUCACGAUGUGCUAAAUUGCUUUGAUUUGAUGAUCCCCAUCUUUCUCAGGGAUUUUUUUUUCUUUUUAAUCACUUAGGAAAUGUCACUGGAACACAGCAAAGUUUCGGGCUACUAGAGGAUUUCCAGAACUUUCCUUUCUUUUCCUUCUUCUUCCUAUGCGUCUCUGAAUGAGUGACUCUUUAUAAUGCAGCAAAAUCUGCAAGGGCUGACGUUUACCUGCGGCCCAGACUCUGCCAGGCAGGAGCAAUUCCCAAUUGAAAGCAGCAUAGACAUACAGGUAACCUCAUACACAUUAGCCCAGUGACCCAGCCAGGUGCUGGUACUUUGACCAUGGCCAGAUAAAGCAAACCAUCGCUCUAGAGGGCUCCUUGGUGAAGCAUCACACCAACAUUCAGACUUGCCUGUGUGGGUUUUGGGUGGCUGAAUUCCCUAAGUAAGUCCCCCUUUCUCCUCUUUGCCAUUGCCAGAAGGAUGCAUGCUGAGGCAGAACGGCAGCACUGGGUGGCCAUAGAGGCCACCACGGAGAUGGGUACAGUUCCCUGGCACAGACCCACAGAGGGAUAGGGAUGGGAGAAGCAGAUGAUGGCGCUUGUUCUGCAUGCCUGGAGAAAGCAAGCAAAUACAUAAAUAAGAACUGCUGACAGGGGAGCUGUGUUAGCAUAACUGACUUUGACCUUGGAAAUGCUGCCUGCGCCUGCUAUGCCCAAGUGCAGGGGAACAGGGGGUAGCUGCUUGUCUGGUCCUCUAGAGCCCUGUAGCUCUGCUCCCCGCUGCAGAACCAGGCAUGGGCACUGCUCAGAGAGCCCUGUGUCCCCCCCACCUUAGUUUACUCCUCUCUUAGUGCCUGUUUCCCAUAGGAGCCGAAUGUGCUUUGCUAUUAUAGCACUAAAUAUGAUGUGAGACCUUCGGCUGCAGCACCUCAGAGUACACGGUGUGGGUUCAGGCCAGCCAAAGCAGUGCUGGGCUGUACACCUAAAGGAGUCACUGAAGCCGGAGCUCAAGACACAGGGAAGACAUCCCCGAUCCCAAAGCACAUCAUGUGGAACUGCCAAUCCAUCAGCCUGAGUGAGCCCUGACCCCUGGGGAUGUCACCUAACUCGUGUAGCACUUGUGUUUUGUAGGCUGCUCCUCUCCCUUUCCCCACCUCCCAUUCUCCUUGCACAGGGGAGUUUGCAAGAGCUCAGCAAAGUUUUCCUUUUGUUGUUUGUAAACUAGAAUAAAUCCUUCUGUUCCAAAAUGCCAUCUGGCACCUGACAGUUGUGUUUCAGCUUCACAGUCUCAAAUCUAAUUGUAAGCUCUUUUUCAGGGCUUUCAAGGACGGUGCGACACAAUAUGGACUACCUACAAUGAAGACAUAUGAACUCAGGAGCAUACCAAACAAAUUCCUUGCAUACUUGUUUUCCAGCAAAGCAUCAAUCACCACAGGGAUGGGAGAGUGUCCAAAACAGCAGGAGAAAAUGCUACAGCUUGCAGUUCUUGGAUUGUAAUUCAUUUAAAGCCAGACACAUUAGCUGUACCACUAACAUCAGAUACAAAUCUCUGUUCUCCUUUUGCGCAUUUACUAUCUCAAAAGCAUUGAGAUUCAAUAUUUAAAGUUGUCCAGGGUAGAUCCUCAGCUGGUGUAAAGUGGCAUAACUGUGCUCAACAGCUGCUCCUGGUCUUUGAAGACAAUGGAGCUAUGCUGAUUUACAUCUGCUGCAGGAAGAUCUAUCGCUCUAUUUGCUUGGCUUUUUCUUUGGUGGCUUGUUUUUCUUUUCCUUUUCCUUGACAAAAUAAAUGGUGUAAUUCCUAGCUUUUA
This is a long non-coding RNA of Neopsephotus bourkii (Bourke's parrot), 2534 nucleotides long. RefSeq lists it as uncharacterized. The transcript is spliced from 2 exons. Lineage: Eukaryota; Metazoa; Chordata; Aves; Psittaciformes; Psittacidae. The record is from RefSeq and is a predicted model, not a curated record.